GGGUUGUGAGGUUAAGCGACUAAGCGUACACGGUGGAUGCCCUGGCAGUCAGAGGCGAUGAAGGACGUGCUAAUCUGCGAUAAGCGCCGGUAAGGUGAUAUGAACCGUUAUAACCGGCGAUUUCCGAAUGGGGAAACCCAGUGUGAUUCGUCACACUAUCAUUAACUGAAUCCAUAGGUUAAUGAGGCGAACCGGGGGAACUGAAACAUCUAAGUACCCCGAGGAAAAGAAAUCAACCGAGAUUCCCCCAGUAGCGGCGAGCGAACGGGGAGGAGCCCAGAGCCUGAAUCAGCAUGUGUGUUAGUGGAAGCGUCUGGAAAGGCGCGCGAUACAGGGUGACAGCCCCGUACACAAAAGCGCAUGUGCUGUGAGCUCGAUGAGUAGGGCGGGACACGUGGUAUCCUGUCUGAAUAUGGGGGGACCAUCCUCCAAGGCUAAAUACUCCUGACUGACCGAUAGUGAACCAGUACCGUGAGGGAAAGGCGAAAAGAACCCCGGCGAGGGGAGUGAAAAAGAACCUGAAACCGUGUACGUACAAGCAGUGGGAGCACAGGUUUACCUGUGUGACUGCGUACCUUUUGUAUAAUGGGUCAGCGACUUAUAUUCUGUAGCAAGGUUAACCGUAUAGGGGAGCCGGAGGGAAACCGAGUCUUAACCGGGCGUUAAGUUGCAGGGUAUAGACCCGAAACCCGGUGAUCUAGCCAUGGGCAGGUUGAAGGUUGGGUAACACUAACUGGAGGACCGAACCGACUAAUGUUGAAAAAUUAGCGGAUGACCUGUGGCUGGGGGUGAAAGGCCAAUCAAACCGGGAGAUAGCUGGUUCUCCCCGAAAGCUAUUUAGGUAGCGCCUCGUGAAUUCAUCUCCGGGGGUAGAGCACUGUUUCGGCUAGGGGGCCAUCCCGGCUUACCAACCCGAUGCAAACUGCGAAUACCGGAGAAUGUUAUCACGGGAGACACACGGCGGGUGCUAACGUCCGUCGUGAAGAGGGAAACAACCCAGACCGCCAGCUAAGGUCCCAAAGUCAUGGUUAAGUGGGAAACGAUGUGGGAAGGCCCAGACAGCCAGGAUGUUGGCUUAGAAGCAGCCAUCAUUUAAAGAAAGCGUAAUAGCUCACUGGUCGAGUCGGCCUGCGCGGAAGAUGUAACGGGGCUAAACCAUGCACCGAAGCUGCGGCAGCGACACUCAGGUGUUGUUGGGUAGGGGAGCGUUCUGUAAGCCUGUGAAGGUGGCCUGUGAGGGUUGCUGGAGGUAUCAGAAGUGCGAAUGCUGACAUAAGUAACGAUAAAGCGGGUGAAAAGCCCGCUCGCCGGAAGAC
This 1316-nucleotide ribosomal RNA is filed under the name Salmonella enterica. RNAcentral's name for it is "partial 23S ribosomal RNA". It matches the Rfam family "Bacterial large subunit ribosomal RNA", at positions 1 to 1345 of the family's 2925-position model. Lineage: Bacteria; Pseudomonadati; Pseudomonadota; Gammaproteobacteria; Enterobacterales; Enterobacteriaceae. RNAcentral also lists the same sequence under 3 other names. The record is from RNAcentral.